This 647-nucleotide ribosomal RNA is filed under the name uncultured bacterium. RNAcentral's name for it is "bacterial SSU rRNA". It matches the Rfam family "Bacterial small subunit ribosomal RNA", at positions 823 to 1467 of the family's 1533-position model. The record is from RNAcentral.
UUGUGGGAAUAGACCCCUGCAGAGCCGGAGCUAACGCAAUAAGUACCCCGCCUGGGAAGUACGGUCGCAAGACUAAAACUCAAAGGAAUUGACGGGGGCCCGCACAAGCGGUGGAUCAUGUGGUUUAAUUCGAAGCAACGCGCAAAACCUUACCUGGGUUUGACAUCCCCGGACAAACGUAGAAAUACGUCUUCUGUAGCAAUACAGCCGGGAGACAGGUGCUGCAUGGCUGUCGUCAGCUCGUGUGGUGACAUGUUGGGUUAAGUCCCGCAACGAGCGCAACCCUUGUCUUUAGUUGCCAGCAUUAAGUUGGGCACUCUAGAGAGACUGCCGUGGUUAACACGGAGGAAGGUGGGGAUGACGUCAAGUCCUCAUGGCCUUUAUAUCCAGGGCGACACACGUGAUACAAUGGAUGACACAAAGGGAAGCGAACCCGCGAGGGGGAGCGAAUCUCAAAAAGUCAUUCUCAGUUCGGAUUGGAGUCUGCAACUCGACUCCAUGAAGCUGGAAUCGCUAGUAAUCGUGGAUCAGAACGCCACGGUGAAUACGUUCCCGGGCCUUGUACACACCGCCCGUCACACCAUGGGAGCUGACUCAACCAGAAAACGUUAUCGCUAACCGCAAGGGGGCGACCGUCGAAGGUGGGG